UGGUUCUGGCAUCGAUGAAGAACGCAGCGAAAUGCGAUAAGUAAUGUGAAUUGCAGAAUUCAGUGAAUCAUCGAAUCUUUGAACGCACAUUGCGCCCAUUAGUAUUCUAUUGGGCAUGCCUGUUCGAGCGUCAUUAAGUCCAUUAAGCCUAGCUUAGCGUUGGGAAUCUACUGUACGGGCGGCGUUACCCUGUAGCGCCUACCCUGUAGUUCCUGAAAAUCAACGGCGGAUUUACAGUGUCCUCUGAGCGUAGUAAUUAUUCUCGCUUCUGUUAGGUGCUGUGGCUCUUGCCGCUAAUCCCCCCCAAUUUCUUAGGUUUGACCUCGGAUCAGGUAGGAAUACCCGCUGA
This 349-nucleotide unclassified non-coding RNA is filed under the name uncultured fungus. Its description in RNAcentral is "partial contains 5.8S ribosomal RNA and internal transcribed spacer 2". The stretch from base 1 to 133 matches the Rfam family "5.8S ribosomal RNA", at positions 22 to 154 of the family's 154-position model. The record is from RNAcentral. Lineage: Eukaryota; Fungi.